AAGUCGUAACAAGGUUUCCGUAGGUGAACCUGCGGAAGGAUCAUUACAGAGUUCAUGCCCUUCGGGGUAGAUCUCCCACCCUUGUGUAUCAUUAUAGAAUGUUGCUUUGGCGGGCUGCGUGCCUAGCAUGCCUCGAUUCGCGUCGAGCGCGCCCGCCAGAGGACCCCUAAACUCUGAAUGUUAGGGUCGUCUGAGUACUAUUAAAUAGUUAAAA
Molecule: unclassified non-coding RNA, 214 nt
Filed under: plant metagenome
Description: partial contains small subunit ribosomal RNA and internal transcribed spacer 1
Rfam family: Eukaryotic small subunit ribosomal RNA (bases 1-46)
Source: RNAcentral